RNAcentral lists this transfer RNA (73 nucleotides) under Bos taurus (domestic cattle). It matches the Rfam family "tRNA". From Rfam's summary of the family: Transfer RNA (tRNA) molecules are approximately 80 nucleotides in length. Their secondary structure includes four short double-helical elements and three loops (D, anti-codon, and T loops). Lineage: Eukaryota; Metazoa; Chordata; Mammalia; Artiodactyla; Bovidae. RNAcentral also lists the same sequence under 3 other names. The record is from Rfam by way of RNAcentral.
UCCCUGGUGGUCCAGUGGCUACAACUCCUCGCUCCCAAUGCAGAGGGCCCAGGUUCAAUCCCUGGUCAGGGAA